Molecule: ribosomal RNA, 253 nt
Filed under: uncultured bacterium
Lineage: Bacteria
Description: partial 16S ribosomal RNA
Rfam family: Bacterial small subunit ribosomal RNA
Source: RNAcentral
UACGUAGGGUGCGAGCGUUAAUCGGAAUUAUUGGGCGUAAAGCGUGCGCAGGCGGUCUUUUAAGUCUGUUGUGAAAUCCCCGGGCUUAACCUGGGAACUGCAAUUGUGACUGCAAGGCUAGAGUGUGUCAGAGGGGGGUGGAAUUCCACGUGUAGCAGUGAAAUGCGUAGAGAUGUGGAGGAACACCGAUGGCGAAGGCAGCCCCCUGGGAUAACACUGACGCUCAUGCACGAAAGCGUGGGGAGCAAACAGG